This 106-nucleotide small nucleolar RNA is filed under the name Gossypium hirsutum (cotton). RNAcentral's name for it is "Plant small nucleolar RNA R71". It matches the Rfam family "Plant small nucleolar RNA R71". From Rfam's summary of the family: R71 is a member of the C/D box family of snoRNAs containing the C (UGAUGA) and D (CUGA) box motifs. Multiple nearly identical copies of this snoRNA have been identified in Arabidopsis, and it is thought to function as a 2'-O-ribose methylation guide for 18S ribosomal RNA. RNAcentral also lists the same sequence under 1 other name. Lineage: Eukaryota; Viridiplantae; Streptophyta; Magnoliopsida; Malvales; Malvaceae. The record is from Rfam by way of RNAcentral.
AACCCAUGGUGAAGGCACCUUCUUAGUAAGUCCUUGCAUCUCUCCCAUGCAUCGUAAAGUGUUUCUAAAUCCAUCUGCACAAAAGAAGAGAUAUCAUUAUGUAAUU